AUGUCAUAUGGAGGGCGAUUAAUUCUGAUUAAUUCGGUCCUCACCAGUAUGCCUAUGUUUCUUUUAUCCUUUUUUGAGGUCCCGGUGGGGGUCAGGAAGAGGUUAGAUUUUUAUCGAUCUCGAUUCUUUUGGCAGAAUGAUGAGUUGAAACGAAAGUAUAGGCUUGCAAAAUGGGACAUCGUCUGUAGGCCGAAGGACCAAGGCGGUCUAGGCAUUGAAAAUCUAGAGAUCAAGAAUAGAUGUCUCCUUAGCAAGUGGCUAUUUAAACUUUCGUCCGAGACAGAGGCUACUUGGGCUCAGUUUUUGCGAAAUAAGUAUUUUCAGUCUAAAACAUUGGCUCAGGUGACUGUGCGACCGACUGACUCACCGUUUUCGAAAGGGUUGAUGAGAGUCAUGCCCCUCUUCUUUAACAGGGCAAAGAUCUUAGUCGGUGAUGGGGCUAAUACAAGGUUCUGGGAGGAUACGUGGCUUGGGGAGACGCUCCUGGCACUUCAAUAUCCUACUUUGUACAACAUUGUUCAGAGUCGAGAAGCUUACGUUGCAACCGUCUUACAGUCCACACCCCUCAAUAUUAGCUUUCGGAGGACGCUGGUAGGCGAUCAUUGGGAGGCCUGGCUCCAUCUUGUACGAAGGCUGAUGGAUGUCCAGCUGUCUCAGCAGCCAGAUAGAUUGUACUGGAAACUGACUAAGGACGGCGUGUUCUCGGUCAAAUCCAUGUAUCUGGAUGUCAUAAACACUAGUGUCAUUCCUUGCUCGAAGCACGUCUGGAAAGUUAAGGUAUCUUUGCGAAUCAAAGUAUUUAUGUGGUUUGUGCAUAAACAAGUCAUUUUGACAAAGGAUAAUCUGGCAAAACGUAAUUGGAUGGGUUCUGCUAGGUGUAGUUUUUGUGAUCAUAACGAAACUAUCAGGCACCUCUUUCUAGAUUGUCCGCUGGCUAAGAUUCUUUGGCGUUCGAUUCAUAUUGCUUUUAAUAUUACUCCACCUACCUCUCUCAACAUGUUAUUUGGAACGUGA
Molecule: ribosomal RNA, 1014 nt
Filed under: Triticum aestivum (bread wheat)
Lineage: Eukaryota; Viridiplantae; Streptophyta; Magnoliopsida; Poales; Poaceae
Description: partial small subunit ribosomal RNA
Source: RNAcentral